RNAcentral lists this non-coding RNA (22 nucleotides) under Arabidopsis thaliana (thale cress). The record is from RNAcentral. Lineage: Eukaryota; Viridiplantae; Streptophyta; Magnoliopsida; Brassicales; Brassicaceae.
AACUACAUGUGCGAAUAUACCU